RNAcentral lists this ribosomal RNA (253 nucleotides) under uncultured bacterium. RNAcentral's name for it is "partial 16S ribosomal RNA". It matches the Rfam family "Bacterial small subunit ribosomal RNA", at positions 524 to 776 of the family's 1533-position model. The record is from RNAcentral.
UACGGGGGGGGCAAGCGUUGUUCGGAAUUACUGGGCGUAAAGGGCUCGUAGGCGGCCAACUAAGUCGGACGUGAAAUCCCUCGGCUUAACCGGGGAACUGCGUCCGAUACUGGAUGGCUUGAGUAUGGGAGAGGGAUGCGGAAUUCCAGGUGUAGCGGUGAAAUGCGUAGAGACCCGGAGGAACACCAGUGGCGAAAGCGGCUUCCUGGUCCAGCACCGACGUUCAGGCACGAAAGCGUGGGGAGCAAACAGG